This 71-nucleotide transfer RNA is filed under the name Saccoglossus kowalevskii. RNAcentral's name for it is "tRNA-Gln". It matches the Rfam family "tRNA". From Rfam's summary of the family: Transfer RNA (tRNA) molecules are approximately 80 nucleotides in length. Lineage: Eukaryota; Metazoa; Hemichordata; Enteropneusta; Harrimaniidae. The record is from RNAcentral.
GGUCCUAUGGUGGAUGGUUAGCACUCUGGACUUUGAUUCCAGCGAUCCGAGUUCAAAUCUCGGUAGGACCU